ACUCCUACGGGAGGCAGCAGUGGGGAAUAUUGCACAAUGGGCGCAAGCCUGAUGCAGCCAUGCCGCGUGUGUGAAGAAGGCCUUGGGUUGUAAAGCACUUUCAGUCGUGAGGAAGGUAGUGUAGUUAAUAGCUGCAUUAUUUGACGUUAGCGACAGAAGAAGCACCGGCUAACUCCGUGCCAGCAGCCGCGGUAAUACGGAGGGUGCGAGCGUUAAUCGGAAUUACUGGGCGUAAAGCGCAUGCAGGUGGUUUGUUAAGUCAGAUGUGAAAGCCCGGGGCUCAACCUCGGAAUAGCAUUUGAAACUGGCAGACUAGAGUACUGUAGAGGGGGUAGAAUUUCAGGUGUAGCGGUGAAAUGCGUAGAGAUCUGAAGGAAUACCGGUGGCGAAGGCGGCCCCUGGACAGAUACUGACACUCAGAUGCGAAAGCGUGGGAGCAAACAGGAUUAGAU
This 452-nucleotide ribosomal RNA is filed under the name uncultured bacterium. RNAcentral describes it as "bacterial SSU rRNA". It matches the Rfam family "Bacterial small subunit ribosomal RNA", at positions 335 to 783 of the family's 1533-position model. The record is from RNAcentral.